AACGCACAUUGCGCCUGUUAGCAUUCUAGCAGGCAUGCCUGUCCGAGCGUCAUUUCAACCCUCAAGCUCUGCUGUAGCUUGGUGUUGGAGCACCUGUAGCAUUUACUGUUUCAGGGCUCUGAAAGCUAGUGGCGGGCCCGCCAGGUCUCCAAGCGCAGUAGCAUUUUUCUCGCUUCUGGAGCUUCCGGCGGGCUUUUUUCCAGCCGUUAAAAACCCCACUGAAGUAACCCUAAAAUUUGACCUCGGAUCAGGUAGGAUUACCCGCUGAACUUAA
This 274-nucleotide unclassified non-coding RNA is filed under the name uncultured fungus. RNAcentral's name for it is "sequence contains ITS2". Lineage: Eukaryota; Fungi. The record is from RNAcentral.